GCCAGAACGUAGAAUGGGUCCUGGUCUUUCUCUUACAUAACAUAACAUAACAUUCCAAGAUGCCAGGGACGUAGAAUGGGUCUUCCUGGACUUUCUCUUACAUAGUGCCAGGGACGUAGAAUGGGUCUUCCUGGACUUCCAUACCGUAUCAUCAUCACAUCAUGACAUAACAUACAAGGGCUAAUGGAUCACUCAACAUUCAUCCACAUCAACAACAUAAUAUG
Molecule: long non-coding RNA, 224 nt
Filed under: Manihot esculenta (cassava)
Lineage: Eukaryota; Viridiplantae; Streptophyta; Magnoliopsida; Malpighiales; Euphorbiaceae
Description: long non-coding RNA (MESC_LNC002254)
Source: RNAcentral